Molecule: non-coding RNA, 705 nt
Organism: Nicotiana tabacum (common tobacco)
Lineage: Eukaryota; Viridiplantae; Streptophyta; Magnoliopsida; Solanales; Solanaceae
Source: RefSeq, a predicted model, not a curated record
AUUCUAUUCCACAGACGCCUCUGUAUUUUCGCCUCUAUAUCUUCCACUCCACGACGCCUCCCUCCGUCACUCUCUCUCUCUCUCUUCACUCCAUUUCCAGUUGAAUAAUCUUGCUUGCUGUCAAUCUUGCCAAAAACGGAAACCUUCCUGGUGAUGAGAAUUUGGGUAAUUUCAAACGAAUCUUGGAGGAGUUCAUUCAAAUCCAGUCGAUUGAUGAUCGAGGUAGGCCAAUCCAACUAACCCAAGAGGGGAUCAUGGACAUGUGGAUUAAGGCAGCUGGUGGCGUGCAUAAGGGGAGAGUCUACGGCCUUGGGUAAGAGUUUGGUCUCGGCCGUCGUACUUCUGAAUUCUCUGAUUCUUAUUCUUCGUCACAUAGUUCAGUUGAUUUGGAUGAGUUUGAAGAAUUGAAUAGGAAGGUAGUGAAGAUUACGGAGUUGUAUCUUCAAGAAAGGGCUGCAAGGGAAGAAGAGGCAAAGGUGAAGGGAGGAAGAAAUGAGGCAAAAGGACGAUGCAUUAAGACUUGUCACUAGUGAUGUUAAAAGUCUCAAGUAUCAAAUAAACUCCCUCUUAGCAUCUGGUGCAUUUUCUGUGCCCCGUUCUCCAGCAUCUGAUGAUAACUAAAGAGCAGUUUUUUUUAUUAGCUUGUCUUGGAUGGUACUUGGAUGUUGAAUAUUGAAUGUUGGAUUUUUUGAGUUUUUGUUCUAC